Molecule: ribosomal RNA, 2900 nt
Filed under: Shigella flexneri VA-6
Lineage: Bacteria; Pseudomonadati; Pseudomonadota; Gammaproteobacteria; Enterobacterales; Enterobacteriaceae
Description: bacterial LSU rRNA
Rfam family: Bacterial large subunit ribosomal RNA
Source: RNAcentral
UUAAGCGACUAAGCGUACACGGUGGAUGCCCUGGCAGUCAGAGGCGAUGAAGGACGUGCUAAUCUGCGAUAAGCGUCGGUAAGGUGAUAUGAACCGUUAUAACCGGCGAUUUCCGAAUGGGGAAACCCAGUGUGAUUCGUCACACUAUCAUUAACUGAAUCCAUAGGUUAAUGAGGCGAACCGGGGGAACUGAAACAUCUAAGUACCCCGAGGAAAAGAAAUCAACCGAGAUUCCCCCAGUAGCGGCGAGCGAACGGGGAGCAGCCCAGAGCCUGAAUCAGUGUGUGUGUUAGUGGAAGCGUCUGGAAAGGCGUGCGAUACAGGGUGACAGCCCCGUACACAAAAAUGCACAUACUGUGAGCUCGAUGAGUAGGGCGGGACACGUGGUAUCCUGUCUGAAUAUGGGGGGACCAUCCUCCAAGGCUAAAUACUCCUGACUGACCGAUAGUGAACCAGUACCGUGAGGGAAAGGCGAAAAGAACCCCGGCGAGGGAGUGAAAAAGAACCUGAAACCGUGUACGUACAAGCAGUGGGAGCACGCUUAGGCGUGUGACUGCGUACCUUUUGUAUAAUGGGUCAGCGACUUAUAUUCUGUAGCAAGGUUAACCGAAUAGGGGAGCCGAAGGGAAACCGAGUCUUAACUGGGCGUUAAGUUGCAGGGUAUAGACCCGAAACCCGGUGAUCUAGCCAUGGGCAGGUUGAAGGUUGGGUAACACUAACUGGAGGACCGAACCGACUAAUGUUGAAAAAUUAGCGGAUGACUUGUGGCUGGGGGUGAAAGGCCAAUCAAACCGGGAGAUAGCUGGUUCUCCCCGAAAGCUAUUUAGGUAGCGCCUCGUGAAUUCAUCUCCGGGGGUAGAGCACUGUUUCGGCAAGGGGGUCAUCCCGACUUACCAACCCGAUGCAAACUGCGAAUACCGGAGAAUGUUAUCACGGGAGACACACGGCGGGUGCUAACGUCCGUCGUGAAGAGGGAAACAACCCAGACCGCCAGCUAAGGUCCCAAAGUCAUGGUUAAGUGGGAAACGAUGUGGGAAGGCCCAGACAGCCAGGAUGUUGGCUUAGAAGCAGCCAUCAUUUAAAGAAAGCGUAAUAGCUCACUGGUCGAGUCGGCCUGCGCGGAAGAUGUAACGGGGCUAAACCAUGCACCGAAGCUGCGGCAGCGACGCUUAUGCGUUGUUGGGUAGGGGAGCGUUCUGUAAGCCUGUGAAGGUGUACUGUGAGGUAUGCUGGAGGUAUCAGAAGUGCGAAUGCUGACAUAAGUAACGAUAAAGCGGGUGAAAAGCCCGCUCGCCGGAAGACCAAGGGUUCCUGUCCAACGUUAAUCGGGGCAGGGUGAGUCGACCCCUAAGGCGAGGCCGAAAGGCGUAGUCGAUGGGAAACAGGUUAAUAUUCCUGUACUUGGUGUUACUGCGAAGGGGGGACGAGAAGGCUAUGUUGGCCGGGCGACGGUUGUCCCGGUUUAAGCGUGUAGGCUGGUUUUCCAGGCAAAUCCGGAAAAUCAAGGCCGAGGCGUGAUGACGAGGCACUACGGUGCUGAAGCAACAAAUGCCCUGCUUCCAGGAAAAGCCUCUAAGCAUCAGGUAACAUCAAAUCGUACCCCAAACCGACACAGGUGGUCAGGUAGAGAAUACCAAGGCGCUUGAGAGAACUCGGGUGAAGGAACUAGGCAAAAUGGUGCCGUAACUUCGGGAGAAGGCACGCUGAUACGUAGGUGAAGCGACUUGCUCGUGGAGCUGAAAUCAGUCGAAGAUACCAGCUGGCUGCAACUGUUUAUUAAAAACACAGCACUGUGCAAACACGAAAGUGGACGUAUACGGUGUGACGCCUGCCCGGUGCCGGAAGGUUAAUUGAUGGGGUUAGCGCAAGCGAAGCUCUUGAUCGAAGCCCCGGUAAACGGCGGCCGUAACUAUAACGGUCCUAAGGUAGCGAAAUUCCUUGUCGGGUAAGUUCCGACCUGCACGAAUGGCGUAAUGAUGGCCAGGCUGUCUCCACCCGAGACUCAGUGAAAUUGAACUCGCUGUGAAGAUGCAGUGUACCCGCGGCAAGACGGAAAGACCCCGUGAACCUUUACUAUAGCUUGACACUGAACAUUGAGCCUUGAUGUGUAGGAUAGGUGGGAGGCUUUGAAGUGUGGACGCCAGUCUGCAUGGAGCCGACCUUGAAAUACCACCCUUUAAUGUUUGAUGUUCUAACGUGGACCCGUAAUCCGGGUUGCGGACAGUGUCUGGUGGGUAGUUUGACUGGGGCGGUCUCCUCCUAAAGAGUAACGGAGGAGCACGAAGGUUGGCUAAUCCUGGUCGGACAUCAGGAGGUUAGUGCAAUGGCAUAAGCCAGCUUGACUGCGAGCGUGACGGCGCGAGCAGGUGCGAAAGCAGGUCAUAGUGAUCCGGUGGUUCUGAAUGGAAGGGCCAUCGCUCAACGGAUAAAAGGUACUCCGGGGAUAACAGGCUGAUACCGCCCAAGAGUUCAUAUCGACGGCGGUGUUUGGCACCUCGAUGUCGGCUCAUCACAUCCUGGGGCUGAAGUAGGUCCCAAGGGUAUGGCUGUUCGCCAUUUAAAGUGGUACGCGAGCUGGGUUUAGAACGUCGUGAGACAGUUCGGUCCCUAUCUGCCGUGGGCGCUGGAGAACUGAGGGGGGCUGCUCCUAGUACGAGAGGACCGGAGUGGACGCAUCACUGGUGUUCGGGUUGUCAUGCCAAUGGCACUGCCCGGUAGCUAAAUGCGGAAGAGAUAAGUGCUGAAAGCAUCUAAGCACGAAACUUGCCCCGAGAUGAGUUCUCCCUGACCCUUUAAGGGUCCUGAAGGAACGUUGAAGACGACGACGUUGAUAGGCCGGGUGUGUAAGCGCAGCGAUGCGUUGAGCUAACCGGUACUAAUGAACCGUGAGGCUUAACCUU